UUUGUAAUGGCGGUCCCGCGUAUGUUUGAGUUUAUUAUAAUAGUUUCUGUCGUCAUAACUCGUCACCGCCCAGUGUAUUGCAUAUACAAUGAUCUGCCCAAACCUCGUUUAUGUGGAUGCACUGAAGUUGAAAACGUUUGUGAAGAUGGAGUGUGUGAAACUUAUCAACAGUGCUACUCAUUUCUUGAGGACGGUUGUUCUGAUAAGCAACAGAGAUCCAUGGGAUGUAUGGGAGAUAUGAUUUCGAGCGCUCGAGCACUGAGGUGCCCUACCAAGAUCGGAGACACAGUGAUGGUGGGCGGUGACGUCAUGCAGUGUUGCAAUGCCACGAACUUCUGCAACUUAAGUCUUGAUCCCUCACCAGUCUGCGAAGCUA
Priapulus caudatus is the source of this 376-nucleotide long non-coding RNA. RefSeq lists it as uncharacterized. The record is from RefSeq and is a predicted model, not a curated record. Lineage: Eukaryota; Metazoa; Priapulida; Priapulimorpha; Priapulimorphida; Priapulidae. The transcript has 3 exons.